UCCGGUUUGUCACCGGCAGUCUGAAGUGAGUCCCCAACUUAAUGCUGGCAACAUACGACGGGGGUUGCGCUCGUUGCGGGACUUAACCCAACAUCUCACGACACGAGCUGACGACAACCAUGCAGCACCUGUGCUGGCUCCCGAAGGUCGGUCGGGUUUCCCCUCCCUACCACCAGCAUGUCAAACCCAGGUAAGGUUCUUCGCGUACCAUCGAAUUAAACCACACGCUCCGCUGCUUGUGCGGGCCCCCGUCAAUUCCUUUGAGUUUUAGCCUUGCGGCCGUACUCCCCAGGCGGUGUGCUUAUCGUGUUAACUAAGGCGCGCACGCAAUUAAGCGCACACACCGAGCACACAGCGUUUACAGCGUGGACUAC
Molecule: unclassified non-coding RNA, 374 nt
Filed under: uncultured bacterium
Lineage: Bacteria
Description: contains 16S-23S intergenic spacer region
Source: RNAcentral